CCCGUGACAAAAUUCAACGGCCGCGGUACCCUAACCGUGCGAAGGUAGCAUAAUCACUUGUUCUUUAAAUAAGGACUUGUAUCAACGGCACCACGAGGGUUAAACUGUCUCCUUUUUCAUAUCAGUGAAACUAAUCUCCCCGUGAAGAAGCGGGGAUAAUUUUAUAAGACGAGAAGACCCCAUGGAGCUUUAAACCCAUCUACACUCCGCUUAACUCUACCUUUAAACCUCUCGGAUCCUGUAUGUUCUGGUUUUAGGUUGGGGUGACCGCGGAGCAUAAACUAACCUCCACAAUGAAUAAAUUUCUUCUUUAUCUAAGAUUAACACCUCUAAGAAUUAGUACUCUAACAUAAAAUGAUCCGAUAUUCGAUCAACGAACCAAGUUACCCUGGGGAUAACAGCGCAAUCUACUUCAAGAGCCCCUAUCGACAAGUAGGUUUACGACCUCGAUGUUGGAUCAGGGUAUCCCAGUGGUGCAGCAGCUACUAAAGGUUCGUUUGUUCAACGAUUAAAACCCU
RNAcentral lists this ribosomal RNA (518 nucleotides) under Guibemantis pulcher (Tsarafidy Madagascar frog). Its description in RNAcentral is "partial 16S ribosomal RNA". It matches the Rfam family "Bacterial large subunit ribosomal RNA", at positions 1905 to 2597 of the family's 2925-position model. Lineage: Eukaryota; Metazoa; Chordata; Amphibia; Anura; Mantellidae. The record is from RNAcentral.